GACGAACGCUGGCGGCGUGCUUAACACAUGCAAGUCGAGCGGAAAGGCCCUGCUUUUGUGGGGUGCUCGAGUGGCGAACGGGUGACUAACACGUGAGUAACCUGCCCUUGACUUUGGGAUAACUUCAGGAAACUGGGGCUAAUACCGGAUAGGAGCUCCUGCUGCAUGGUGGGGGUUGGAAAGUUUCGGCGGUUGGGGAUGGACUCGCGGCUUAUCAGCUUGUUGGUGGGGUAGUGGCUUACCAAGGCUUUGUCGGGUAGCCGGCCUGAGAGGGUGACCGGCCACAUUGGGACUGAGAUACGGCCCAGACUCCUACGGGAGGCAGCAGUGGGGAAUAUUGCACAAUGGGCGGAAGCCUGAUGCAGCAACGCCGCGUGCGGGAUGACGGCCUUCGGGUUGUAAACCGCUUUCGCCUGUGACGAAGCGUGAGUGACGGUAAUGGGUAAAGAAGCACCGGCUAACUACGUG
This 468-nucleotide ribosomal RNA is filed under the name uncultured bacterium. Its description in RNAcentral is "partial 16S ribosomal RNA". It matches the Rfam family "Bacterial small subunit ribosomal RNA", at positions 28 to 507 of the family's 1533-position model. The record is from RNAcentral.